GACGAACGCUGGCGGCGUGCUUAACACAUGCAAGUCGAACGGAAAGGCCCUGCUUUUGUGGGGUGCUCGAGUGGCGAACGGGUGAGUAACACGUGAGUAACCUGCCCUUGACUUUGGGAUAACUUCAGGAAACUGGGGCUAAUACCGGAUAGGAGCUCCUGCUGCAUGGUGGGGGUUGGAAAGUUUCGGCGGUUGGGGAUGGACUCGCGGCUUAUCAGCUUGUUGGUGGGGUAGUGGCUUACCAAGGCUUUGACAGGUAGCCGGCCUGAGAGGGUGACCGGCCACAUUGGGACUGCGAUACGGCCCAGACUCCUACGGGAGGCAGCAGUGGGGAAUAUUGCACAAUGGGAGGAAGCCUGAUGCAGCAACGCCGCGUGCGGGAUGACGGCCUUCGGGUUGUAAACCGCUUUCGCCUGUGACGAAGCGUGAGUGACGGUAAUGGGUAAAGAAGCACCGGCUAACUACGUG
RNAcentral lists this ribosomal RNA (468 nucleotides) under uncultured bacterium. RNAcentral describes it as "partial 16S ribosomal RNA". It matches the Rfam family "Bacterial small subunit ribosomal RNA", at positions 28 to 507 of the family's 1533-position model. The record is from RNAcentral.